RNAcentral lists this ribosomal RNA (253 nucleotides) under uncultured bacterium. Its description in RNAcentral is "partial 16S ribosomal RNA". It matches the Rfam family "Bacterial small subunit ribosomal RNA", at positions 524 to 776 of the family's 1533-position model. The record is from RNAcentral.
UACGUAGGAGGCAAGCGUUGUCCGGAAUUACUGGGUGUAAAGCGCGUGUAGGCGGCAGGCCAAGUCUGUGGUGAAAUCGCUCGGCUCAACUGGGCGGGGUCCAUGGAAACUGGUCAGCUGGAGGACGGUAGAGGUGAGUGGAAUUCCCGGUGUAGUGGUGAAAUGCGUAGAGAUCGGGAGGAACACCCGUGGCGAAGGCGGCUCACUGGGCCGGUCCUGACGCUGAGACGCGAAAGCGUGGGGAGCGAACAGG